UGUGGUUUAUUCUGCCUUCACCAGGAUC
This 28-nucleotide non-coding RNA is filed under the name Rattus norvegicus (Norway rat). The record is from RNAcentral. Lineage: Eukaryota; Metazoa; Chordata; Mammalia; Rodentia; Muridae.